This 534-nucleotide ribosomal RNA is filed under the name uncultured bacterium. RNAcentral's name for it is "bacterial LSU rRNA". It matches the Rfam family "Bacterial large subunit ribosomal RNA", at positions 505 to 1042 of the family's 2925-position model. The record is from RNAcentral.
GAGGGAAAGGUGAAAAGUACCCCGACGAGGGGAGUGAAAUAGUUCCUGAAACCGGAUACUUACAAACAGUAGGAGCCCGCAAGGGUGACUGCGUACCUUUUGUAUAAUGGGUCAGCGACUUAAAGUAACGAGCAAGCUUAAGCCGAUAGGCGUAGGCGCAGCGAAAGCGAGUCUGAACAGGGCGUUCAGUUCGUUGCUUUAGACCCGAAACCGAGUGAUCUAGCCAUGAGCAGGUUGAAGGUGCGGUAACACGCACUGGAGGACCGAACCGGUGUCUGUUGAAAAAGACUCGGAUGACUUGUGGUUAGGGGUGAAAGGCCAAUCAAACUCCGUGAUAGCUGGUUCUCCCCGAAAUGCAUUUUAGGUGCAGCGUCACGUGUUUCUUGCCGGAGGUAGAGCACUGGAUGAGCUAGGGGGCCUACAAGCUUACUGAACCCAACCAAACUCCGAAUGCCGGUAAGUGAGAGCGUGGCAGUGAGACUGUGGGCGAUAAGGUUCAUGGUCGAGAGGGAAACAACCCAGAUCACCAACUAA